UACGAGAGGUGCAAGCGUUAUUCGGAAUUAUUGGGCGUAAAGGGCGCGUAGGCGGCUUUAUAAGUUUUUUGUUUAAUAUCCCGGCCUAACUGGGAACAUGCAAAAAAGACUGUAGGGCUAGAGUAUAAUAGAGAGAAGUGGAAUUCUCGGAGUAGCGGUUAAAUGCGUAGAUCUCGAGAGGAACGCCAAUGGCGAAGGCAGCUUCUUAGAUUAUUACUGACGCUGAGGCGCGAAGGCGUGGGGAGCAAACAGG
Molecule: ribosomal RNA, 253 nt
Filed under: uncultured bacterium
Lineage: Bacteria
Description: partial 16S ribosomal RNA
Rfam family: Bacterial small subunit ribosomal RNA
Source: RNAcentral